RNAcentral lists this small RNA (107 nucleotides) under Marmota monax (woodchuck). Lineage: Eukaryota; Metazoa; Chordata; Mammalia; Rodentia; Sciuridae. The record is from RNAcentral.
GCUGGGCACGGUGGUGUAUGCCUGUAAUCUCAGCAGCUUGGGAGGCUGAGGCAGGAGGAUUGCAAGUUUAAAACCAGCCUCAGCAAUUUAGCAAGACCCUGUCUCUA